AUGUGGCCAUGGGCGGCGCUGGUGCUGGUCGCGCUCUACUUGCAUCCGGCCGCGGCGGCGUCGGCCGAUACUGUGGCGGCGGCGUCCUACAUUGUGCACAUGGACAAGUCGGCCAUGCCGGGGGUGUUCUCGAGCCACCUGCGCUGGUAUGAGUCCACGCUCGCCGCAGCCGCCCCGGGAGCGGACAUGUUCUACGUCUACAACCACGCUAUGCACGGCUUCGCUUCGCGGCUCUCCGCGGAUGAGCUUGACAGGCUCCGACGCUCCCCGGGGUUCGUGUCGUGCUACCGCGACGACGCCAGGGCGGUGCGCGACACGACGCACACGCCCGAGUUCCUCGGCCUCGGUGUCGGCGCGACCGGGGGAAUAUGGGAGGCGUCCGAGUACGGCGAGAACAUGAUCAUCGGCGUGGUGGACACGGGCGUGUGGCCCGAGAGCGCGAGCUUCAGCGACGACGGGCUCCCCCCGGUGCCGGCACGGUGGAAGGGCUUCUGCGAGUCCGGCCCGGCGUUCGACGCGGCCAAGGCGUGCAACCGGAAGCUCGUCGGCGCGCGCAAGUUCAACAAGGGCCUCAUCGCCAACUCCAAUGUGACCAUCGCAGUCGACUCCCCGCGAGACUCGGAAGGCCACGGCACGCACACGUCAUCCACGGCGGCCGGCUCGCCCGUGUCGGGCGCGUCCUUCUUCGGCUACGGGCAAGGCGUCGCUCGCGGCAUGGCGCCCCGCGCCAGAGUGGCGGUGUACAAGGCCCUGUGGGAGGACGGCGCGUACGCUUCCGACAUACUCGCCGCCAUGGACCAGGCCAUCGCCGACGGCGUCGACGUGCUCUCCCUCUCCCUUGGCUUCAACGGCCGGCAGUUACACGAAGACCCCGUCGCUAUUGGCGCAUUCGCGGCCAUGCAGCGCGGCGUCUUCAUGUCAACCUCGGCCGGUAACGACGGGCCGGAUCCCGGGUACCUUCGGAACGGCUCGCCGUGGGUGCUCACCGUCGCGGCGGGCACGGUGGACCGGGAGUUCUCUGCCGUCGUCCGGCUCGGCGAGGGCACGACCUUGGUUGGCGAAUCGCUGUACGCCGGAACCCCACACAGACUCGGAAACGCCGGGCUCGUGUUCCUCGGCCUGUGCGACAACGACACGGCGCUCGCAGCGAACCGCGGCAAGGUCGUCGUCUGCGACGUGCCGUACAUCGACGCCCUGACCCCCGCGAUAUCGGCGGUGAAAGCCGCCAAGGUGCGCGCAGGGCUGUUCCUGUCCAACGACACGUUGAGGGAGCUAUACGAGAACUUCCCAUUUCCGGGCGUGAUCCUGAAGCCGCAGGGCGCCCACGCGCUGCUGCACUACAUCCAGAGGAGCCGCACGCCCAAGGCCUCCAUCAAGUUCGCGGUGACCGUGGUGGACACGAAGCCUGCGCCGCAGGUGGCGACCUACUCGUCGCGCGGCCCAUCGCGGAGCUGCCCCACGGUGCUCAAGCCCGACCUGCUCGCGCCCGGCUCGCUCAUCCUCGCCAUCGUCACCGACGCAGGGACGCAGUCGCCGCUGUUCAGCAAGUUCAACGUCAUCUCCGGCACGUCCAUGUCGUGCCCACACGGCCACACGCGUCAGGCGUGGCGGCGCUGCUCAAGGCCGUGCACCCGGAAUGGAGCCCCGCGGCAGUGCGGUCGGCGAUGA
RNAcentral lists this ribosomal RNA (1668 nucleotides) under Triticum aestivum (bread wheat). Its description in RNAcentral is "partial small subunit ribosomal RNA". The record is from RNAcentral. Lineage: Eukaryota; Viridiplantae; Streptophyta; Magnoliopsida; Poales; Poaceae.